Long non-coding RNA from Morus notabilis, 226 nucleotides. RefSeq lists it as uncharacterized. NCBI's taxonomy places the organism in Eukaryota, Viridiplantae, Streptophyta, Magnoliopsida, Rosales, Moraceae. The record is from RefSeq and is a predicted model, not a curated record. The transcript is spliced from 3 exons.
CUCUCAGCCUCAAACUCACAACCUUUGCCCAGUGAUCUCCUACGGCAUUUCGUCUCCUCGGCGUCUCUGAGUGAGAGUCUCCUUGCUUCUAGUCAACUCUGAUUCUGGAUCGUUGCUCAAAUAGAACAACCAAUUCACAAGCUGAUCUAGAUUGUAUAAAGGAAGGAACCAAACAACGUUUAUACCAAGAGUUUCCCAUGACAUGCGUUCUAUUUUUCUUAACUUA